AUCUCAGUUCGGAUCGCAGGCUGCAACCCGCCUGCGUGAAGUUGGAAUCGCUAGUAAUCGCGGAUCAGCAUGCCGCGGUGAAUACGUUCCCGGGCCUUGUACACACCGCCCGUCACACCAUGAGAGUCGGGAAUACCCGAAGUCCGUAGCCUAACCGCAAGGGGGCGCGGCCGAAGGUGGGUUCGAUAAUUGGGGUGAAGUCGUAACAAGGUAAC
RNAcentral lists this ribosomal RNA (215 nucleotides) under uncultured bacterium. RNAcentral describes it as "partial 16S ribosomal RNA". It matches the Rfam family "Bacterial small subunit ribosomal RNA", at positions 1285 to 1500 of the family's 1533-position model. The record is from RNAcentral.